Molecule: ribosomal RNA, 253 nt
Filed under: uncultured bacterium
Lineage: Bacteria
Description: partial 16S ribosomal RNA
Rfam family: Bacterial small subunit ribosomal RNA
Source: RNAcentral
CACGUAGGGCGCAAGCGUUGUCCGGAAUUAUUGGGCGUAAAGAGCUCGUAGGCGGUCUGUUGCGUCCGCUGUGAAAACUCGGGGCUUAACCCCGAGCCUGCAGUGGAUACGGGCAGACUAGAGGUAGGUAGGGGAGAAUGGAAUUCCCGGUGUAGCGGUGAAAUGCGCAGAUAUCGGGAGGAACACCGGUGGCGAAGGCGACAUCCUGGACCGGUAUUGACGCUGAGGCGCGAAAGCCAGGGGAGCAAACGGG